GUGGGUAUAGCUCAGUGGUAGAGUGCAUGCCUAGCAUGCAGGAGGUCCUGGGUUCAGUCCCCAGUACCUCCA
Molecule: transfer RNA, 72 nt
Filed under: Camelus bactrianus (Bactrian camel)
Lineage: Eukaryota; Metazoa; Chordata; Mammalia; Artiodactyla; Camelidae
Also listed under: 2 other names
Rfam family: tRNA
About the family: Transfer RNA (tRNA) molecules are approximately 80 nucleotides in length. Their secondary structure includes four short double-helical elements and three loops (D, anti-codon, and T loops).
Source: Rfam by way of RNAcentral